RNA transcript from Humulus lupulus (European hop), 1387 nucleotides. RefSeq lists it as uncharacterized. Lineage: Eukaryota; Viridiplantae; Streptophyta; Magnoliopsida; Rosales; Cannabaceae. The transcript has 5 exons. The record is from RefSeq and is a predicted model, not a curated record.
CAAUGGACUCUUUCUUUUUUUUUUCUUUUCCUUUUCCUUCUUUUCUUUCUCUUUCCCCGACUGCCCUCUCUCUCUCUUCUCUUUCUCUUUUUUCUCUCUUCUCUCCACGGCAACACACCACCACCACUAAGACCCAACCUCCGGCAACCACCAUUUUUGGCAUACGACGGCAGAUUGGAUUCUCCUUGCUCCGGCGACCUCAACCACCAAGCGGCACCGCUCAACUCGCCGUAAGUUGUUCGGAAUAGUCAGUCAAAGUUUUGGUCCGUCAACUUUGACUGUGUUUUCCGGCCAACUCCGACCACCCUUCGGCAAGUGGUUGAUACCUUUGGAACCAGCGUGGAGAGAGGAACAAAACCCACUAAUUCAUUCCGGUCAACUCGCCAUUUUUCUCCGGCAAGAUUUUGGGUAUCUCUGCCCUUUGGAAGCGUUUUCCGGCGACACCGGAGGUCAUUUGGGCGAAGGAGUUGUACUUUCGUGAUGUACUCAUCGAGAGGAUCGUUUUGAUAUAUGCUAUGCAUAUAUUCGUUGACGUUUCCGGUACUGCCACCAACUGCUAUAGUGCACCGCUUGGGAAAAACGUGAUAUUAAAAUCGGACUAAAUCAUUCUAAGAUCAUCGAUAAGCUUAGGAGCGUUGCUUUGGGCUCGGAUUAAAUUCUAAGGAGGUAUCUAAAGAGCAUUACAAGAAGAACGAAUAUAUGGAGGCAGAAAUGCAAUGUCCAAAUGCUUUACAAAGCAUGGAAAUGAAGCUUAGAACAACUUGCAAUGCUACGAAUGCUAAGUUCGACAAUGUUGUGAAGGUAAGCAUUUUCGGUCCUUGAUGGUCUUGUAUCAUAGUAUGAAAAUCAAGUCAUGGUCUAGGAAAAUGGCAGAAGCUAGCUAUGUUCUUACAAAAAAGUUUUGAAGGUCCAAUACUUGAUCUCACCAAGAGAUUAAUUGACCAAGUUGGAUUAGAGAAAAAUACACUUCUGUUAAAAUGCCGGUCAAUCGAAGAUAAUUUUGCGUUACUGAACAAGCAGCUGGAAGCAAGUGAUAAGUCAAAGUCUGAAUAUCUGAAGCGUUAUGGGGAACCUAUCGAUGAGAAGAAGCGGCUAGCUGAUGAAUAUAUGGCUCGUAUAGCAAACUUACAGAGUAAUUGUAGUUCACUAGGUGAGAGGUACUCUAGCUUGUUGAAGGCACUGGAUACCGCCAAGCAAGAUUCUGUGGACUGGCAAAGAAAAUAUGAGCAGAUCUGAUGAAAUAUAUUUUGAUUAAGUUUGCUAUGUAAUUUUUGUCUUUGUAAUAUGUAAAUUUGGUUUAUUUUUUGAUUGUUGACUGUUGUUGGUGUAAUAAAUUUAUAAAAUUGUUGAAUAAAAAAGUUUAUAAGUUUAUUUCUUUUAUUAGAAA